AAGCAAAUGAAAAGGAAGGGGAGAUGCUGGCACAGGGAUGCUGGAGUAACCACUGGAGAAGACUGGGUGAAAGAUCACCUUCUGAGCUUAUAAGGAGAGGCACAUAAUUGAAGGAGUAAACACAGAAAUAGACCCAGGGGUGUGUGCACACAGACGAAAGAGCACGUAAGGACACAGAAGAGAGCUAUCUGCAAGCGGAGGGGAGAGGGGUCAGGAGAAGCCAGCCCUGCUGGCACCUUGAUCUUGGACUGCCAGCCUGCAGAACUACGAGAAAAUACACCUCUGCUGUUUAAGUCGCCCAGCGUGGAGUGGAGUGUUAGAGCAUCCUCGCAAACUAAUUGAGGGAGGAAACCAUGCCCACAUCACCCAUUAAAGACGGGCUGUUUUCUUGCAGGCCCCCAAAUGGAAAGAAUCAUGUGGUUUCUCACUCUAACACCAGGGGAUCUGCUUAGUUUCUGCCCCCUUCACUGCCCAGGGCAUAUUGUAAAAGCCAUCUGGACACUGUAAUUAUUCAUGGACUUCCGGGCCCACAUCCAAAUGGUCCUCAGACUGAGAGAAACCGAAGCUGAAAGCUGAGAACCAUCAAUCUCUGACGCGGAACUUUUUCAGAUGCUUUCUGAAAACUGAAUACACACCCGCUGACCAGAGCGUCCUGGGAUUUCUACAGGCUGGGGACUCCUGGAAACCCAGGGGGAGUCCACAAAAUCUAGCUCUUGAAACAGAGACUCGAAUUCCAGAAAUAACACAAAUGAUUUUGCUUAGAACAGUUAAAAGAAAGCUAAUGUUACUUUAAUUUGGGGAUUCUACAAAAU
Molecule: long non-coding RNA, 812 nt
Organism: Bos taurus (domestic cattle)
Lineage: Eukaryota; Metazoa; Chordata; Mammalia; Artiodactyla; Bovidae
Source: Ensembl